RNA transcript from Wyeomyia smithii (pitcher-plant mosquito), 5485 nucleotides. It is a transcript of the gene named sodium bicarbonate cotransporter 3, with no coding region annotated. NCBI's taxonomy places the organism in Eukaryota, Metazoa, Arthropoda, Insecta, Diptera, Culicidae. The record is from RefSeq and is a predicted model, not a curated record. The transcript has 16 exons.
AACUCGCUCUCGAAAUCAGUUGGCCACGCGACGCUCGACGCGACCAGACGUGUCGUCGUUCGGUUCGGUUUGAAAGAAGCAACCCAAGUUUUGUUAAACUUCUUCCCUCCGCCUGGGUGGUGUGCCCUCCAGGGUGUGCUUUUUCUCGUCCUGGUGAACACGCUUUUCCUUGUUUUCGCUGUAUGUUAUCACAAUGAAAGCAGUUUGUUGUUUUCGACAACACAUUAGAAGGGUUACGAAUUACGAGUGGAAAGCCAGACAAACAGGAAAUUUGUGCCUUUCUCAUCCAGAGAAUAGUGAAUGUGUGCAAGAUUUACAGUAGUUAGUUUUCUAGUUAAUUAUUUACUGUCGUCUAAUGGUGCUGUAGUACGGUCGAUCAACCUAUUCGAAACGAAUAAUUUGUGACUAUCUUUGUUAGACAUGUUUCCAGUUCUUUUGUGACAUUUUUAUUCUCAUGUGUGCUAACUAUUCAUCGAGCAAAGUCUUGAACGUCAAGGAACGGGUUAUAUACGUUGAUGAUAAAUGGUACGGAAUACUACCGAUGUCAACCAACGUGACACACAAUGACUGAUCGUCAUGUGGAAAAUCAAGGAAAUUCCCGUUAGUGCUUUUCAAACAGUCGUGGUAUGACUUAAAAUCCGAAUAGCAGGCAUUCUUUGUUCGAUAAAAGUGUGAUGGAAAUGUUACCGGAAAUGAUAUUUUCCUACUAACGCUUUUCCUAAAAAUCAACCUUGCAACUGACUGCGCAAAUUUGAAAACGGCUGGGAGCAUGCCUUUCAGCAUGAAAGACAAUAAACGCUUUUUCAUCACCAGACCGUGGAAAAUGGAUCACGGUGAAGUUGACGAUGAAGCUCCUAUAGACCCGCGGCUCAAUAGUCGCACAUUUCCAUUGGAUCCGGAUUUCGAGGGUCAUCGAGCGCACACCGUUUACGUAGGUGUGCACAUUCCUGGCUCAUCGAGACGCCACUCGCAGCGACGUCGCCACAGGCACCACCAGCAGAGCCGUGAAAAUGGCGACAGGAAUGCCAGCGCCGAAGCCGAACGACCAGCCGUACCGAUGCCUCACGUUGUCACACAACGAAGAUUCAGUGUCGUUGACGACGGAGAAUUUUUUACCCCACCCGCACAAAGAGUUCAAUUUAUCUUGGGAGGCGAGGUGGACGACACGAACCAUGAGUCACACCCGCUGUUCUCCGAGAUGGAAGAACUGGUCAAGGAGGGCGACGACAUAGCCUGGAAGGAAACGGCCCGAUGGGUCAAAUUCGAGGAAGACGUCGAGGAGGGUGGCAAUCGGUGGUCUAAACCGCACGUGGCUACCCUAUCGCUGCACUCGCUUUUCGAGCUACGAAGUCUGCUGCUCAACGGUACGGUGAUACUGGAUAUGGAAGCCGUCAGCCUCGAGACGAUCGCCGAGCUGGUCUGCGAAAACAUGGUCAAUGCUGGCACAUUGCCCAUCGACGCACGAGAUAAGGUUAUCGACGCUCUGCUGAAGCGGCACAAACACCAGCACGAAUUCGGCAACAAAAAGUCCCGCUUGCCACUGAUCCGAUCGCUUGCCGAUAUUGGCAAAAAUCAUUCGAGCUCCAAGAAUAUGCAACGCUCAUCCACCGCCACCUCUGCCAACUCAUAUCCAAUGCACGUCGUCUCAUCGUCACCCGGAAUGCACGAUGACGUUGGUGAGCCAACACUGUCGCCACAAACCGCACUGCUCGGCGGAUCUGCCAAAGAUCAGCGAGGUCACUAUCUUGCACUACCAACAGUUGAAGAACAACAACACAACCAACAGCAACAACAACAGCAAACCGGCAACAGUGGCCAUCUUAAUGUCCCGGGUAACAACGGAAAUCAUUUAACCGUGCCUGGAAAAACUUCCGGGGAGAAUCUGAUUCAAAGUCCGAGCAAUCUCUCGAUGGCACGAAACACCAGCUCCGGAGAGCUGCAGAACGGCGAACACAAGACGAAUACGCAUUUUAUGAGAAAAAUUCCACCGGGAGCAGAGGCAAGCAAUAUCCUAGUGGGUGAGGUAGACUUCCUCGAUAAGACACUUGCAGCAUUCCUGCGGCUCAACAAUGCCGCCGUGAUGGGUGACCUGACCGAAGUACCCGUUCCAACCAGAUUCAUUUUCAUUCUGCUCGGUCCCCCAGGAAGCCACGGUAGCUUCCACGAGAUUGGACGUGCCAUGGCGACACUUAUGUCCGACGAAAUCUUCCACGAGGUUGCCUAUCGGGCCAAAAAGCGCGAGCAUCUUCUGGCUGGCGUCGAUGAAUUCUUGGACGCGGUUACUGUGCUACCUCCGGGCGAAUGGGAUCCGUCCAUUCGGAUAGAGCCGCCGGCGGCUAUACCGUCACAGGAAGUUCGCAAACGUCCUCCCGAGAAGAAUCCGAAGGAAGAAAUCGACGAAGAAGAGGAGGAACAACGACAGCGCGAGGAGUCAGGCCUUUCCCGUACCGGGCAUCUGUUCGGCGGGUUGAUCAACGAUUUGAAGCGUAAAAAGCCAUUCUACUGGUCGGACUUCAAAGACGGUCUGUCCAUGCAAUGUGUGGCUUCAUGGAUUUUUCUUUAUUUCGCGUGCCUGUCACCUAUAAUCACCUUCGGUGGCUUGCUAGGCUCAGCAACCGGUAACAACAUCGCGGCAAUGGAGUCGUUGGUUUCGGGUUUCGUUUGCGGCAUUGGGUAUGGAUUCUUCUCCGGUCAACCGCUUACAAUUCUUGGAUCGACCGGCCCUGUACUGGUGUUCGAGACAAUUGUGUACGAUUUUUGCAUGCAAGUAGGAUGGGACUACUUAACAUUCAGAUUCUGGAUUGGAACGUGGGUUGCCAUAAUUUUGAUCAUAUUGGUUGCGAUUGAUGCAAGCGCUUUCGUGUGCUAUAUCACCAGGUUUACGGAGGAGAAUUUUGCUUGCCUCAUUGCGUUUAUUUUUAUCUACAAAGCGGUAGAAAAUGUAUUGCACAUCGGCACCGACUAUCCGUUGAAUACUGCGGGGGUAAAAUAUGACUGUUCAUGUCUACCACCAGACAACGAAACAAUGUCCACGGAGAAUGUUCACGAGUGGUCACAGUAUGAUAAGAAAACUUGUUCCCUUUUGAAUGGAACUCUAUCCGGAGUGGACUGCGCGAAACCCGAGUACAUCUCCGAUGUCUUCCUGAUGUCGAUUAUCCUCUUCAUAGGCACCUACAUUAUAUCCGUGAUUUUGAAGGAUUUUAAGAACGCACUAUUCUUCGCAUCGAGCGUGAGGCAGUUUUUCAGCGACUUCGCCGUCAUUAUUGCGAUUUUAUCCAUGAGCAUGCUAGAUUUCGUCACCAACGUUCCAACCCCGAAGCUGGAGGUUCCGCGAGAGUUCAAGCCAACCAUUCCGGAUCGGGGAUGGGUGAUUCAACCAUUCCACGAGAAGAACCCGAUCUGGUCUUCGGUGCUCGCUGUACUGCCCGCCCUGUUGGGUACCAUCUUGAUCUUCAUGGAUCAACAAAUUACGGCUGUGAUAAUCAAUAGGAAAGAGCAUAAGCUAAAGAAAGGUUGUGGCUACCAUCUUGAUCUUUUUGUACUGGCCUUGCUGAUAGAGAUUUGCACAAUCAUGGGAUUACCAUGGUUUGUGGCCGCCACCGUACUCAGUAUUAAUCAUGUCAAUUCACUCAAGCAAGAGUCGGGAACAGCCGCUCCCGGUGAAAAACCACAAUUUCUGGGAGUCUGCGAACAACGGGUUACUCACAUACUGAUUUUCCUGACAAUCGGUUGUUCGGUACUGCUGACACCGCUGCUGUCACACAUUCCAAUGCCAGUAUUAUAUGGCGUUUUUCUGUACAUGGGAGCCGCAUCUCUCAAAGGACUUCAAUUUUUCGAUCGACUGCUGAUCAUGCUAAUGCCAAUCAAAUACCAGCCGGACUACAUGUUUUUACGACAGGUCCCCAUACGACGCGUUCAUCUGUUCACAUUGAUUCAGCUGGCAUGUCUGGUGAUGCUGUGGAUUAUUAAAUCAUUCUCAUCGACGUCGAUCCUGUUCCCACUGAUGUUGGUGGUAAUGAUCGGCCUCCGAAAGUCCCUCGAUUUGGUCUUCACAAGACGCGAGCUCAAGAUUCUGGACGAUGUUAUGCCGGAAAUGACGAAACGAGCGCACGCUGACGACCUCCGGCAGCUGGAGGAUGGCGAGGACUCGGGCCACCAUUCAGCGGACAACCUGCAGCUUCCGCUGGAGAAUGGCGCUCUCACUGCUAAAGGGAAAAUCAACAUAUCGGAGGAAGUCAAUCGCACCACCAUCUGGAAGCAGGUCAAUAAUUGUAACGUGCUGUUUACGAAGAAGCAAACCGAACCCGAUACCACCAAAAACCGCCAAGAUGCUGCAACACUACCAACGACCAAUUUAGUUGGUUCAACACCGCAACAACAACAACAACAAACGCAACAACAAUCACUUUCCGAGGCCGCAAAAAAACCGAACACAAUCGACCAGAGACUGUCCACCAUGAGAGAGGAGGAGGAAAACAAUCCGGAUGAUGCCAACAACCGUCAAUUAAACCAUUCCAAACGAACGCAGGUCUGAAUUUCUAACCUCAAAAUGCACUGAACACAAGUGUGCGAUCCUCCCAAAACCGUAGUCAUACGAGUCAUACUAUACAUCCAAUCAAAACCAUCCCUAACUUAUGCAACAGUACCAUAGCUAGUUUCGAUGUAUCUUUGUGAAAUCGAUCAUAGUUGACGACAGAUAAUAUUAGUUGGCAAGAUGUUACAGCUUAGAGCUUUGGCGGUGAAAGUCCCGAAGUUUUGUAUCAAAACGUAGCCGAAACAAUCCAGAUCUAACUUAUCAUUUGCAUUGAGUAACACAAACUCAUCACGGUCACUGUGAAUACAAUCAUAUUUGGUAGCAACGCUCGAUUCAUAAUUACGUUGGAGCAAAAGUUUUCUGCAAUCUGUUUAGUACAUCAACAUCAUUGAAUGUUUGCUUAAUCCUUCCCUCUUUCCAUAUAAAAUUAUUAAAUUGCGAAGGAAUGAAUGUCCGCUUCAUGAAAUCGGUUUCCGCAGUGCAGCUAUGAUAAUACGUUUAAGUUUACACUGUACAGCUUAGACCAUUUUACCAUUAAUAAUAUAAGAUAGUUUGUUGUUAAUUUGCUUCUUCCAUACGAUAAGUGUUAUUCAUCGACAUUACGUUGCUCUUAGUGUUACAAACUGCACACACUCGUGAAAAUGAACAAACAAUAUGUAGCUUAAUCGCGUUUUCAUUGCAUCAAUUAAAGUCGAACUAGAACAAAAAUGUUACGCUGUAGAAACAGUCCAAUUCCCCCUUAUGAUCAAAACGAGCUGACAGCUGCUUCCUUUUUCCUCCAUCAACCCCGUCGCAACUAUUUCGCAGAAACUAAAACGAGAGUUUUGGAUGAAUUCAUCCCGAGCCGGAAAUGCAGCGUACAUUCGUGGCAACACUACCGGGGAGAAGCGAGACGAAGGCGGUGGAGUUGCGGAAACAUCAAUCGGGAGCAACUUUAAUGCCUCCGAAACG